UACGAAGGGGGCUAGCGUUGCUCGGAAUCACUGGGCGUAAAGCGCACGUAGGCGGGUCGUUAAGUCGGGGGUGAAAUCCUGGAGCUCAACUCCAGAACUGCCUUCGAUACUGGCGAUCUUGAGUCUGGGAGAGGUGAGUGGAACUCCGAGUGUAGAGGUGAAAUUCGUAGAUAUUCGGAAGAACACCAGUGGCGAAGGCGGGUCUCUGGGCCGAUACUGACGCUGAGGAGCGAAAGCGUGGGGAGCGAACAGG
This 253-nucleotide ribosomal RNA is filed under the name uncultured bacterium. Its description in RNAcentral is "partial 16S ribosomal RNA". It matches the Rfam family "Bacterial small subunit ribosomal RNA", at positions 524 to 776 of the family's 1533-position model. The record is from RNAcentral.